This 1150-nucleotide long non-coding RNA is filed under the name Bos taurus (domestic cattle). Its description in RNAcentral is "long non-coding RNA NONBTAT020486". The record is from RNAcentral. Lineage: Eukaryota; Metazoa; Chordata; Mammalia; Artiodactyla; Bovidae.
GUUCCUUUUAACACCUAAACACUGUCAGGAAGUCUGGCUUAAGUUGAGAGGCCUAUUUUAACUCUCUUUUGCCAAACACUAUUAAAAAUUUCUCAUUUAAAGCUGACAGUCUAUGAGUGUAUGAGUUCAAACACAUCACUUAUUUUCUGUCCCCUGGGAAAGUGAAUUGGUUUUAAUUUAGCUCCAAGUGUUUACACCGCUAUGUUCAUUGGCCGGUUUACAAGAGAGAUCUAAGACCUGAAUGAAACUGUAGCAAUCUUGUAGAAAAUAGAGCUUCAUAGGUUGAGGAUGGGCCUGAGAGCCUCUUUUCCUUUUUUUAAACAAAUGUCAAAUUAAUUAGUUUUGCUUUACCAACAAAAUGCCUCAGUAGAAUAAAAUUUAAAUUUGGAAAUUACAGAGCUCAAUAUUGAAUCCAUUGAUGACUUUUUAAAGAGAAAUACACUAUUUACCUAAAGCCACUUAAGAUGUAUUCAUUGUAGAAUUGCAUUGGUUGGGUUUUAUUUUUCUAAAUUCUUGACAAUUUAAAGGGUGAAUUUUGAUCUGCAGUGCUGAACGGCUAAUCUGGACUUACUUAAGAUUGGAUGACAAAGUGAUGUGACUUUGUUGGCAGGAUAUCUGCCAAAUAGAGUAUAGCGUCCAACAGGGUUUUUUGGAAAGGGCAUUAUUCUCUGAUGUGGGAGGCAAGUGGACUCUGGACCAUUAGAAGCAGCUACAUAAAAACUCCUGUUUUGAAGCUGGCCUCCCAGUGACCAGCUGGAUGGGUGGUGAGAAGCAGAUUUUUAACAAUGGGUUGUCCUUCCGCAUCAUUGUAUUUAUUUUGAGAAGAAAGAUAAUUGUCUGUUACAUUCCCCUAUCAGUUUUCUGGUUAAAGUUUCAGAGUAUGCAAGUAUCACCAUGAACCAAAUGCUUUACAAGCUAUCACAUUUGUGAACUUAAUGAAAUGGUCAUAAUUUGUGUAAAUAUGUCUUUUAAGUGAUGUUGGAGAGUUGUGAUUCAUAGUUCAUAUUUUCAAAAUGCAUUCCAUUUCAAAUAAAGUAUCUAUAGAGGUGAUUGACCUGUGGACUUUUUGAAGGCCUUGUUCACCUGUCCCAUACACUGCGUGUCCUUGUGGGAAGAAGAAUGUUCUAAAGGGCUUGGCCACUGUAAAGGA